CAUACACUUUUAAAAUAUGUACAAUCACCAUCUGUCACAACUGGUGAAGGCCCAAGUACAUCCACAGAUGUGUGUAUUUGCUCAUGUGAGUGAGUGCAACAUGUUCAUUUAGACAUUCCAGAUGGUAAAUAACCUAAUGUAAAUACUACAUGUAAUGCUAUAUACAAUCUAAUUAAUCAACUUUUUCCUGUUUCAAGAAACAUGUCAACAGUUGGCUCCAUCAUCUUCUUCUGAUGAUGAUAAGAGCACAACAGAUUCCACCUUGUCACUUUUCUCCGAAGCACCAGAUACAGCCGCCUCUGCCCAGCCUUCAGAGCCGCACACACCUGCUGCUGCUGAGACAGAUGAGCCACUUUCGCAGCACAUGAGCACCACACCAGACCACACCAAGUGGUGCACCGCAUCUCUGUUCUCUGCCUCCUGCUCACUGCUGAGUCACCCCACAACCACAAUGUCAUCUGAAAACUUCUGCAGAUGACAGGACUCUGAGUUGUACUGAAAGUCAGAGGUGUUCAGGGGGAAAGACAGUGGAACACAAACACAGUAGGCACUAGAGCCUUGGGGAUGCUUUGCUGAUUCAGGAGGGAAGCUGAUACAAACAUAAAAGCAGAAAAAUUCAUAUUGGCUUCUCAAAGUGUCUCUGUUCUCCCCUGGGCCGAAUCCGACAUCGAUUCUCUCUUUCAGUCUUGCCGAUAGUACAGAAGGUCCCACCACAAGGACCUGCGUAACUGCAGGAGCAAUUCCUUGAACGCAGAACUGUUUUUGGAAUUUUCUUCUUUUGUUCAUAAAGAACCUUGUCCCAUUUCUGGUUCCUGACGGUAAACUGUCGGCCUUUAAAAUUAAGUACUUUUUGAUGGGGUGCAGGCUCAGCUGGCAAAACUGCUGGCAACUUGAUUGAAAAGAAAAACAGCAAGAAGAGCAAAGGAGAGCAGAGAUACAAAAGCUGUUUUUUGAGUUAUAUAACUUUAUAUUACAAAGAAUUGUUAUUCUUAGACUUUUUACAGUCAAACUAAAAGUCAAGUAUGAUAUGAGAUGUACAAAACUGAUAUUUUACUUUUUUAUUUGUCCACAGGUUAACUCAUUAUCACUCAUCAUCAACUCUAAAGUGUGCAUACACACCCACAACACACACACACUUAAUUCCCCUUCUGAGGGCAGAUCAUUACCUCAGCCCACCGCCUGCUGUUCACAUCUCACUGGGUUUCAGCUUAACAGUUACACGGUAUCGAUGUUCAGUACUCUGCGUUAGAGCAUUCAGCAUGUAAAAUCCCCUCUGAAGGCUAUAGAGGGCCAGCUGUCAGGCACAGACCAUGUAGCCACAACACCUCUGGAUUGAAUCUGGCCUGGGGCUUUUGAUGCAUGACAUGCCUCUCUCGCUCUCUCUCUCUCUCUCUCUCUGUAUCCGUGUUUCCUGUCACUCAGCUGUCAUACCGUCCAAUAAAGGCAAAAUAUCCAAAAGCAUUAAUUCACCUGCACUGCUCAGCCUCGGGACCAAUUGGACCACUUCUUUCAACGUCUCUACUAUAAGUGUUCUGCUGAAAGGUUUUAAAGGCUUAAAUAUAUCCCCGCACUAAAGAGGCAUCAUCAAAUUUCAGCAACACCAAGCUAAUGUAGCAGCUGAUCCUUCUGGCUUUGAGCAGCAAGAAACUGUUGCAGCCAAUUAUAACAAUUGUUCUUUCUUGAAAUGACCCGAUUGUCCUUUUAUUAAACUUCACUUACUAGUAAGAUUAACCAGACGCUGUGACUGAUAUUUGAACCUGAAACAACUCAUCAAGUCACCAACUCAGAAACUGCAUCGUCAUCCACGUUGUUGAUCUUGGAUGAUCUGUCAAUCAAAAAAAGCAGCUGAUAGUCCAUUUGUGGCCAAGAUUCACAAUAAACACUGAUUAAGAUUUUAACACGAGUUGCUUCAGACUGCACUAUUUAUGUUUUUGUUUUAAGGGCCACAAAUUACAGCUGAAGACACCACAUCCAUCUCCAGGAUUCAACCUUAACCCCGAUCUUUGUGUCCUGAUGCUACUAUGAUGUACCUGUGUGUAUCUCACUGUGAAUAUUUUAACCAGUGUUAUUAGCUUGCUUCAAAACAAUAAAGCAGCUCCAGAGAUGUUUUCACAAAGAAAAAUGCACCACCUUAUUGCGCUGCUAAUAAUGUAUUUUUUUAUGGCAACGUGCAUCAUCAGUGCAGACAUGCAGUAGAGUCGUAGCUGGAUUAAAAUGUUGCUAAAAUGUUCUUCAAUGGGAGAUCUUUGCACAUCAACAUAAUCAGAGUUUGGGGCUUACUUUUGCUCCACCUUACUCACAAUACUGGUUAAUCAUGUUGGAUUGUAUGCAAACUAUCAAGUUCUUGUAUUUUUUUUCUUUACUGUUUCUGCAGCUGGAAACAUGAACUUACCAGGUAAUUAGAAGAGAAUAAAACAGACGGCUGACAUACUGGUGUGUUAUGGCAUUCAGCAUCUGAGUGUAGCAAAAUGGACAUUUAUUUACAUGAAAAUGUCAUGGAUUAUUACCAUAACAGUGAUUUAAAGCAGGCAUUGAAAUCGAUAACCUAUAAACUAAACAGCUCUGGUAUUAUAAAACACAGGAACCUUCUUGCGGGAGCUCUACCGCUCUCUCACAAUCGAGUAUAAACAAUUGAGGGCAUAAUAUCAACGGGGUGAUGUAAUCACUACGGUGAUGUGAUCCACUUUGUUUCCGCAAGUAACUCACUUAGAGACACAUUACGCAGGAUGGAUGAAUGGACGGAUGGAGGGAUGAAUGGAUGAGGAGGAGAGGAGGCAGGGU
Molecule: long non-coding RNA, 2781 nt
Organism: Thunnus maccoyii (southern bluefin tuna)
Lineage: Eukaryota; Metazoa; Chordata; Actinopteri; Scombriformes; Scombridae
Exons: 6
Source: RefSeq, a predicted model, not a curated record